AACGAACGCUGGCGGCAGGCCUAACACAUGCAAGUCGAACGACAUAGUGGCAGACGGGUGAGUAACGCGUGGGAACGUGCCUUUCACUACGGAAUAGCUCUUGGAAACGAGUGGUAAUACCGUAUACGCCCUCCGGGGGAAAGAUUUAUCGGUGAAAGAUUGGCCCGCGUUAGAUUAGCUUGUUGGUGAGGUAAUGGCUCACCAAGGCGACGAUCUAUAGCUGGUCUGAGAGGAUGAUCAGCCACACUGGGACUGAGACACGGCCCAG
Molecule: ribosomal RNA, 268 nt
Filed under: uncultured bacterium
Lineage: Bacteria
Description: partial 16S ribosomal RNA
Rfam family: Bacterial small subunit ribosomal RNA
Source: RNAcentral